This 76-nucleotide transfer RNA is filed under the name compost metagenome. Its description in RNAcentral is "tRNA-Ser". It matches the Rfam family "tRNA". From Rfam's summary of the family: Transfer RNA (tRNA) molecules are approximately 80 nucleotides in length. Their secondary structure includes four short double-helical elements and three loops (D, anti-codon, and T loops). The record is from RNAcentral.
CGGAGAGGUGGCAGAGUGGUCGAAUGUACCUGACUCGAAAUCAGGCGUAUCGAGGGUUCGAAUCCCUCCCUCCUGG